This 1145-nucleotide ribosomal RNA is filed under the name Bacillus licheniformis. RNAcentral's name for it is "bacterial SSU rRNA". It matches the Rfam family "Bacterial small subunit ribosomal RNA", at positions 87 to 1217 of the family's 1533-position model. Lineage: Bacteria; Bacillati; Bacillota; Bacilli; Caryophanales; Bacillaceae. The record is from RNAcentral.
AAAGGUUAGCGGCGGACGGGUGAGUAACACGUGGGUAACCUGCCUGUAAGACUGGGAUAACUCCGGGAAACCGGGGCUAAUACCGGAUGCUUGAUUGAACCGCAUGGUUCAAUCAUAAAAGGUGGCUUCGGCUACCACUUACAGAUGGACCCGCGGCGCAUUAGCUAGUUGGUGAGGUAACGGCUCACCAAGGCAACGAUGCGUAGCCGACCUGAGAGGGUGAUCGGCCACACUGGGACUGAGACACGGCCCAGACUCCUACGGGAGGCAGCAGUAGGGAAUCUUCCGCAAUGGACGAAAGUCUGACGGAGCAACGCCGCGUGAGUGAUGAAGGUUUUCGGAUCGUAAAACUCUGUUGUUAGGGAAGAACAAGUACCGUUCGAAUAGGGCGGUACCUUGACGGUACCUAACCAGAAAGCCACGGCUAACUACGUGCCAGCAGCCGCGGUAAUACGUAGGUGGCAAGCGUUGUCCGGAAUUAUUGGGCGUAAAGCGCGCGCAGGCGGUUCUUUAAGUCUGAUGUGAAAGCCCCCGGCUCAACCGGGGAGGGUCAUUGGAAACUGGGGAACUUGAGUGCAGAAGAGGAGAGUGGAAUUCCACGUGUAGCGGUGAAAUGCGUAGAGAUGUGGAGGAACACCAGUGGCGAAGGCGACUCUCUGGUCUGUAACUGACGCUGAGGCGCGAAAGCGUGGGGAGCGAACAGGAUUAGAUACCCUGGUAGUCCACGCCGUAAACGAUGAGUGCUAAGUGUUAGAGGGUUUCCGCCCUUUAGUGCUGCAGCAAACGCAUUAAGCACUCCGCCUGGGGAGUACGGUCGCAAGACUGAAACUCAAAGGAAUUGACGGGGGCCCGCACAAGCGGUGGAGCAUGUGGUUUAAUUCGAAGCAACGCGAAGAACCUUACCAGGUCUUGACAUCCUCUGACAACCCUAGAGAUAGGGCGUCCCCUUCGGGGGCAGAGUGACAGGUGGUGCAUGGUUGUCGUCACCUCCUGUCCUGAAAUGUUGGGUUAAGUCCCGCAACGAGCGCAACCCUUGAUCUUAGUUGCCAGCAUUCAGUUGGGCACUCUAAGGUGACUGCCGGUGACAAACCGGAAGAAGGGGGGGGAUGACGUCAAAUCAUCAUGCCCCUUAUGACCUGGGCUAC